CGCAUCUGUGCAUGCAGCAUAUCAAUAACGGAGGAAAAGAAACUAACAAGGAUUCCCUUAGUAACGGCGAGUGAAGCGGGAAGAGCUCAAAUUUGAAAUCUUCAAGGUUUUACCUUGACGAAUUGUAGUUUAAAGAAGUGUUUUCUGCUGAAGUUUUGGUAAAAGUUCUUUGGAAUAGGACAUCAUAGAGGGUGAGAAUCCCGUAUUUGACCAUUAUUUUCAGCUUUGUGAUACACUUUCAAAGAGUCGGAUUGUUUGGGAAUGCAGUCCAAAAUGGGUGGUAAAUUUCAUCUAAAGCUAAAUAUUGGCGAGAGACCGAUAGCGAACAAGUACCGUGAGGGAAAGAUGAAAAGAACUUUGAAAAGAGAGUUAAACAGUACGUGAAAUUGUCAAAAGGGAAGCGUUUGACACCAGUGUUGUUUUCUCGAAAAUCAAUUAAAAAUGGCUCGAUUUUGUAUUGCUGAGACCUUAAAAGCUCACUGUACAUUUUUCGUGUCUUUUUUAAUGCACUUUUCGUUUAACAAGUCAACAUCAGUUUCUUUUGUUGUAAAGGGGUCAUUGGAAGGUGGCUUUCUUUUCGGAGAAAGUGUUUAUAGCCUCUUGGCCUAUGCAAUCGGAGAGAUUGAGGUCUGCAGCGUAGAUCCUUCGGGGCUAGAUACAUUUGUGCUAAGUUAUAGCUUUUUAUAGACAACUUGUUGACUAUGAUUAGUCUUGUAGCUUACUCGCUUAUGCUAUUUUACCUACGCUUAGGAUGUUGAUAGUCACAGCGUGUAC
This 774-nucleotide ribosomal RNA is filed under the name uncultured Neocallimastigales. RNAcentral's name for it is "partial large subunit ribosomal RNA". It matches the Rfam family "Eukaryotic large subunit ribosomal RNA", at positions 22 to 625 of the family's 3401-position model. The record is from RNAcentral. Lineage: Eukaryota; Fungi; Neocallimastigomycota; Neocallimastigomycetes; Neocallimastigales.